UGCCCUAUAGCCAAACUGGUAAGGCACCUGAUUCUGGUUCAGGCAUGUGUGGGUUCGAGUCCUGCUGGGGCAG
Molecule: transfer RNA, 73 nt
Filed under: Clostridium acidisoli DSM 12555
Lineage: Bacteria; Bacillati; Bacillota; Clostridia; Eubacteriales; Clostridiaceae
Rfam family: tRNA
About the family: Transfer RNA (tRNA) molecules are approximately 80 nucleotides in length. Their secondary structure includes four short double-helical elements and three loops (D, anti-codon, and T loops).
Source: Rfam by way of RNAcentral